This 659-nucleotide ribosomal RNA is filed under the name Burkholderia sp. T3-YH-1836. RNAcentral's name for it is "bacterial SSU rRNA". It matches the Rfam family "Bacterial small subunit ribosomal RNA", at positions 84 to 739 of the family's 1533-position model. Lineage: Bacteria; Pseudomonadati; Pseudomonadota; Betaproteobacteria; Burkholderiales; Burkholderiaceae. The record is from RNAcentral.
CCUGGUGGCGAGUGGCGAACGGGUGAGUAAUACAUCGGAACAUGUCCUGUAGUGGGGGAUAGCCCGGCGAAAGCCGGAUUAAUACCGCAUACGAUCUUUGGAUGAAAGCGGGGGACCUUCGGGCCUCGCGCUAUAGGGUUGGCCGAUGGCUGAUUAGCUAGUUGGUGGGGUAAAGGCCUACCAAGGCGACGAUCAGUAGCUGGUCUGAGAGGACGACCAGCCACACUGGGACUGAGACACGGCCCAGACUCCUACGGGAGGCAGCAGUGGGGAAUUUUGGACAAUGGGCGAAAGCCUGAUCCAGCAAUGCCGCGUGUGUGAAGAAGGCCUUCGGGUUGUAAAGCACUUUUGUCCGGAAAGAAAUCCUUGGUUCUAAUAUAGCCGGGGGAUGACGGUACCGGAAGAAUAAGCACCGGCUAACUACGUGCCAGCAGCCGCGGUAAUACGUAGGGUGCGAGCGUUAAUCGGAAUUACUGGGCGUAAAGCGUGCGCAGGCGGUUUGCUAAGACCGAUGUGAAAUCCCCGGGCUCAACCUGGGAACUGCAUUGGUGACUGGCAGGCUAGAGUAUGGCAGAGGGGGGUAGAAUUCCACGUGUAGCAGUGAAAUGCGUAGAGAUGUGGAGGAAUACCGAUGGCGAAGGCAGCCCCCUGGGCCAAUA